This 171-nucleotide small nuclear RNA is filed under the name Salmo trutta (river trout). RNAcentral's name for it is "U2 spliceosomal RNA (ENSSTUG00000004181.1)". It matches the Rfam family "U2 spliceosomal RNA". From Rfam's summary of the family: U2 is a small nuclear RNA (snRNA) component of the spliceosome (involved in pre-mRNA splicing). The record is from Rfam by way of RNAcentral. Lineage: Eukaryota; Metazoa; Chordata; Actinopteri; Salmoniformes; Salmonidae.
GUAAAUUGUAAAUUUUUGAAUUAAUAAAAAAAUAAAAAUCUGUUCUUAUCAGUUUAAUAUCUGAUACAUAUUAAAUGGAUUUUUCGAACAGGGAGUCGGAAAUGGGGCUUGUUCCGUCCGCUCCAUGCAUUGACCCAGUAUUGCAGUACCUCUGGGAACGGUGCAACACUU